Molecule: ribosomal RNA, 305 nt
Filed under: uncultured bacterium
Lineage: Bacteria
Description: bacterial SSU rRNA
Rfam family: Bacterial small subunit ribosomal RNA
Source: RNAcentral
AUUGAACGCUGGCGGCAUGCCUUACACAUGCAAGUCGAACGGCAGCGGACCUUCGGGUGCCGGCGAGUGGCGAACGGGUGAGUAAUAUAUCGGAACGUACCUUUCAGUGGGGGAUAACGUAGCGAAAGUUACGCUAAUACCGCAUAUUCUGUGAGCAGGAAAGCAGGGGAUCGCAAGACCUUGCGCUGAUUGAGCGGCCGAUAUCAGAUUAGCUAGUUGGUGAGGUAAAGGCUCACCAAGGCGACGAUCUGUAGCGGGUCUGAGAGGAUGAUCCGCCACACUGGAACUGGAGACGACGGUCCAGA